AUACGGAGGAUCCGAGCGUUAUCCGGAUUUAUUGGGUUUAAAGGGUGCGCAGGCGGCCAUUUAAGUCAGCGGUUAAAUCGUGGGGCUCAACCCCAUUCUGCCGUUGAUACUGGGUGGCUUGAUUGCGGUCGAGGUUGGCGGAAUUCGUUGUGUAGCGGUGAAAUACAUAGAUAUAACGAAGAACACCGAUUGCGUAAGCAGCUGACCAGACCGCAAAUGACGCUCAUGCACGAAAGUGCGGGGAGCGAACAGGGUUAGAUACCCAGGUAGUCCGCACAAAAAACGAUAAAUACUUGUUUGCGGCGAUAUGAUGUCGGUGUCAAAACGAAAGCGAUAAGUAUUCCACCUGGGGAGUUCGCCGGCAACGGUGAAACUCAAAUGAAUUGACGGAG
This 392-nucleotide ribosomal RNA is filed under the name uncultured bacterium. Its description in RNAcentral is "partial 16S ribosomal RNA". It matches the Rfam family "Bacterial small subunit ribosomal RNA", at positions 523 to 918 of the family's 1533-position model. The record is from RNAcentral.